This 2913-nucleotide ribosomal RNA is filed under the name Salmonella enterica subsp. enterica serovar Adjame. RNAcentral's name for it is "23S ribosomal RNA". It matches the Rfam family "Bacterial large subunit ribosomal RNA". Lineage: Bacteria; Pseudomonadati; Pseudomonadota; Gammaproteobacteria; Enterobacterales; Enterobacteriaceae. The record is from RNAcentral.
GGGUUGUGAGGUUAAGCGACUAAGCGUACACGGUGGAUGCCCUGGCAGUCAGAGGCGAUGAAGGGCGUGCUAAUCUGCGAUAAGCGCCGGUAAGGUGAUAUGAACCGUUAUAACCGGCGAUACCCGAAUGGGGAAACCCAGUGUGAUUCGUCACACUAUCAUUAACUGAAUCCAUAGGUUAAUGAGGCGAACCGGGGGAACUGAAACAUCUAAGUACCCCGAGGAAAAGAAAUCAACCGAGAUUCCCCAGUAGCGGCGAGCGAAGGGGGAGGAGCCCAGAGCCUGAAUCAGCAUGUGUGUUAGUGGAAGCGUCUGGAAAGGCGCGCGAUACAGGGUGACAGCCCCGUACACAAAAGCGCAUGUGCUGUGAGCUCGAUGAGUAGGGCGGGACACGUGGUAUCCUGUCUGAAUAUGGGGGGACCAUCCUCCAAGGCUAAAUACUCCUGACUGACCGAUAGUGAACCAGUACCGUGAGGGAAAGGCGAAAAGAACCCCGGCGAGGGGAGUGAAAAAGAACCUGAAACCGUGUACGUACAAGCAGUGGGAGCACCCUUCGGGGUGUGACUGCGUACCUUUUGUAUAAUGGGUCAGCGACUUAUAUUCUGUAGCAAGGUUAACCGUAUAGGGGAGCCGCAGGGAAACCGAGUCUUAAUUGGGCGUUAAGUUGCAGGGUAUAGACCCGAAACCCGGUGAUCUAGCCAUGGGCAGGUUGAAGGUUGGGUAACACUAACUGGAGGACCGAACCGACUAAUGUUGAAAAAUUAGCGGAUGACCUGUGGCUGGGGGUGAAAGGCCAAUCAAACCGGGAGAUAGCUGGUUCUCCCGAAAGCUAUUUAGGUAGCGCCUCGUGAAUUCAUCUCCGGGGUAGAGCACUGUUUCGGCUAGGGGGCCAUCCCGGCUUACCAACCCGAUGCAAACUGCGAAUACCGGAGAAUGUUAUCACGGGAGACACACGGCGGGUGCUAACGUCCGUCGUGAAGAGGGAAACAACCCAGACCGCCAGCUAAGGUCCCAAAGUCAUGGUUAAGUGGGAAACGAUGUGGGAAGGCCCAGACAGCCGGAUGUUGGCUUAGAAGCAGCCAUCAUUUAAAGAAAGCGUAAUAGCUCACUGGUCGAGUCGGCCUGCGCGGAAGAUGUAACGGGCUAAACCAUGCACCGAAGCUGCGGCAGCGACACUGUGUGUUGUUGGGUAGGGGAGCGUUCUGUAAGCCUGCGAAGGUGGCCUGUGAGGGUUGCUGGAGGUAUCAGAAGUGCGAAUGCUGACAUAAGUAACGAUAAAGCGGGUGAAAAGCCCGCUCGCCGGAAGACCAAGGGUUCCUGUCCAACGUUAAUCGGGGCAGGGUGAGUCGACCCCUAAGGCGAGGCCGAAAGGCGUAGUCGAUGGGAAACGGGUUAAUAUUCCCGUACUUGGUGUUACUGCGAAGGGGGACGGAGAAGGCUAUGUUGGCCGGGCGACGGUUGUCCCGGUUUAAGCGUGUAGGUGUGUGUUCCGGUAAAUCCGGUUCACUUUAACACUGAGGCGUGACGACGAGGCACUACGGUGCUGAAGCAACAAAUGCCCUGCUUCCGUGAAAGCCUCUAAGCAUCAGGUAACAUCAAAUCGUACCCCAAACCGACACAGGUGGUCAGGUAGAGAAUACCAAGGCGCUUGAGAGAACUCGGGUGAAGGAACUAGGCAAAAUGGUGCCGUAACUUCGGGAGAAGGCACGCUGACACGUAGGUGAAGUGAUUUACUCAUGGAGCUGAAGUCAGUCGAAGAUACCAGCUGGCUGCAACUGUUUAUUAAAAACACAGCACUGUGCAAACACGAAAGUGGACGUAUACGGUGUGACGCCUGCCCGGUGCCGGAAGGUUAAUUGAUGGGGUCAGCGCAAGCGAAGCUCCUGAUCGAAGCCCCGGUAAACGGCGGCCGUAACUAUAACGGUCCUAAGGUAGCGAAAUUCCUUGUCGGGUAAGUUCCGACCUGCACGAAUGGCGUAAUGAUGGCCAGGCUGUCUCCACCCGAGACUCAGUGAAAUUGAACUCGCUGUGAAGAUGCAGUGUACCCGCGGCAAGACGGAAAGACCCCGUGAACCUUUACUAUAGCUUGACACUGAACAUUGAGCCUUGAUGUGUAGGAUAGGUGGGAGGCUUUGAAGCGUGGACGCCAGUCUGCGUGGAGCCGACCUUGAAAUACCACCCUUUAAUGUUUGAUGUUCUAACGUGGACCCGUGAUCCGGGUUGCGGACAGUGUCUGGUGGGUAGUUUGACUGGGGCGGUCUCCUCCUAAAGAGUAACGGAGGAGCACGAAGGUUGGCUAAUCCGGUCGGACAUCAGGAGGUUAGUGCAAUGGCAUAAGCCAGCUUGACUGCGAGCGUGACGGCGCGAGCAGGUGCGAAAGCAGGUCAUAGUGAUCCGGUGGUUCUGAAUGGAAGGGCCAUCGCUCAACGGAUAAAAGGUACUCCGGGGAUAACAGGCUGAUACCGCCCAAGAGUUCAUAUCGACGGCGGUGUUUGGCACCUCGAUGUCGGCUCAUCACAUCCCGGGCUGAAGUAGGUCCCAAGGGUAUGGCUGUUCGCCAUUUAAAGUGGUACGCGAGCUGGGUUUAGAACGUCGUGAGACAGUUCGGUCCCUAUCUGCCGUGGGCGCUGGAGAACUGAGGGGCUGCUCCUAGUACGAGAGGACCGGAGUGGACGCAUCACUGGUGUUCGGGUUGUCAUGCCAAUGGCACUGCCCGGUAGCUAAAUGCGGAAGAGAUAAGUGCUGAAAGCAUCUAAGCACGAAACUUGCCCCGAGAUGAGUUCUCCUGAGACUUAAAGUCUCCUGAAGGAACGUUGAAGACGACGACGUUGAUAGGCCGGGUGUGUAAGCGCAGCGAUGCGUUGAGCUAACCGGUACUAAUGAACCGUGAGGCUUAACCUUACAACGCCGAAG